AAGUGGCGCAAGGGUGAGUAACACGUGAAUAAUCUGCCUACAAAUUCGGGAUAACUCGGCGAAAGUUGUGCUAAUACCGGAUAAGACCACACUUCGCAGGGAGGGUGGCCAAAGGAGUCUCAAACUUCGUUUGUAGAUGAGUUCGCGGACCAUUAGCUAGUUGGAGGGAUAAUAGCCCCCCAAGGCUACGAUGGUUAGCCGGCCUGAGAGGGUGAUCGGCCACACUGGAACUGAGACACGGUCCAGACUCC
This 251-nucleotide ribosomal RNA is filed under the name uncultured bacterium. Its description in RNAcentral is "partial 16S ribosomal RNA". It matches the Rfam family "Bacterial small subunit ribosomal RNA", at positions 93 to 339 of the family's 1533-position model. The record is from RNAcentral.